GACGAACGCUGGCGGCGUGCUUAACACAUGCAAGUCGAACGAUGAAGCCUCUUCGGGGGUGGAUUAGUGGCGAACGGGUGAGUAACACGUGAGUAACCUGCCCUUCACUUCAGGAUAAGCCUUGGAAAACGGGGGUCUAAUACUGGAUAUGACUCAGGCCCGCAUGGGUUUGGGUGGAAAGAGUUUUUGGUGGGGGAUGGGCUCGCGGCCUAUCAGCUUGUUGGUGAGGUAGUGGCUUACCAAGGCGACGACGGGUAGCCGGCCUGAGAGGGUGACCGGCCACACUGGGACUGAGACACGGCCCAGACUCCUACGGGAGGCAGCAGUGGGGAAUAUUGCACAAUGGGCGCAAGCCUGAUGCAGCGACGCCGCGUGAGGGAUGAAGGCCUUCGGGUUGUAAACCUCUUUCGUCAGGGAAGAAGCGAAAGUGACGGUACCUGAAGAAGAAGCACCGGCUAACUACGUG
RNAcentral lists this ribosomal RNA (466 nucleotides) under uncultured bacterium. RNAcentral describes it as "bacterial SSU rRNA". It matches the Rfam family "Bacterial small subunit ribosomal RNA", at positions 28 to 507 of the family's 1533-position model. The record is from RNAcentral.